AUGUCACCUUCGAGCAAACGCCAAGGCCACGAAGUUAAACUCAACCAUCCACACAACCGUAGAGGUUUAGUAUCAAGGAUCAGUGGUGGAGGACAUGGUGGUGAUUUGCUUGUUGAAGUCAAUGUUGAGGUCUCGUUGCUCUGAGGACUUCAGUGAAUACACAGCACCUCCUGAACUGACUGAAGAGAGUCCAGAAGAUCUGCUGUGCAGCUUACACUUCAUUUAUAAGUAAUUCAUGACCACAGAAAAAUUCAAAAAAUUAAUAAUGUUGAUUAAAUGUAAGUUUUUUAGUUGUGUGAAAUAGUUAUUUUACCUGUAAUUGUUUUCUAUUCCAUUUUAUUAUAUAAUUUAUUAUUUAAUUUCUUUACAGAUAUAUAUAUAUAUAUAUAUAUAUAUAUAUAUAUAUAUAUAUAUAUAUAUAUAUAAUAUAUAUAUUGUUUAUUAAUAUCGAUAAUAUAGAUUUUUUUUUAAUCUAACAUUAUCUACAAUUUCUCCUGUUGUUAUUCAAUCUAAAGUGAUUUAUUCAGUUUCAUAAAGUGAAUUUCACACAGACAUUACAUUGAGACAUUUCCUUGGUUCCUCAUGAUUUUGUUUUUGUAACUUGAUAAUUUAUUUGUUGCUGAUUAUUUAAUAGUAAUAAAGUAUACAUAUAUUGUUUUAAACCAUUGAAAGUGUGUUUGUGUGCAGUGGACUUAUUGGCAAUUGAACUCUUUGAACACCAUCUGCGUUCUGCGUCUCUGAGCCACAGAAAACAACCUUUAAGUCUGAUGUGUUUAUCACCUCCCUACCAUGAACACUGAUGUUCAGUGCUACUCUAAUCUUAAUCACAAGAAUAACAAGAAUACUUAACAUAAAUAAUAAGAUCAAACAAAUCAAUUUCAAUUUAAACACUGAAUUAAACAUACUAGUCGUUAACUAAAAAUAAAAUUUUCUCUUUUUCCAGCCCCUUGUCAUCUUUUGUUAUAAACAUAUUUAAUUGUAAUAUCUUAUUACAAAAACAUUAUAAUUGUUUCUAAAUGUCUUAAUACAGUAAUAUUUCAUACCAAUAACUAAUGUUUAAUAAAAAAAUAUCAAUAAAAGAAAGCGCUGGUGACAACUGCUGGUCAAAAAUAGGAAUGUGCCAUUUAACAGCCUAAACUAGGGUACUGAUAAUAACGAGCAAAUUUCCAGCUUUAAUGGCUUUUUUAUGUAUAUAAUUACCUAAUUAAAUAUUUUGUCCUUUCUGUCAAAUAGUUCAAUUUAAUCAAACCUAUUUAUUUUUAACACAAAUAAUAAAAUAAAAAACGUAUGCGUGCACAAGUCAAUAACUGCUCUUGGAUUAGAUAAUUGCUUGUUUCUCAUUAGAGAAUCAAGACACUUGUAUUUUCGUAACAUGAAAAGCUAAACAUCUUACGUCGUAUCUAAUCUUCUUAGUGAAAUAAUUCAGUUUUCAGUGCUUACUGAGCACAUGUCGUGAAUACAGGAUAAACUCCCACGGUUUCAAGAGAUUUUGGGUGACAUCAAAGUACCGCGAGAUCGAGCGAUUCAAAAACACAAGCGCUAUCUGCUCUCUUACAGCUCUCGCGGUACUUUGUACUGCUGUUUGGUUCUUAAAGGAAUCGUUCUUAUGAACCGCUUCACAAAAUGAACUGAAUCGAACUGUAGUUCUGGGUUGAUGACGCAAGACGCACAGAAGUAGCCCAACUCAGAAAGAACCAAAUAAGCCUGACAUUUUAUUCUACUGUCAGAUUUUCCCAAAAAGGUUUUAUCAAUAUUGUGUCCUUUUCUCAUAUUGAACAACAUUUAAUGCAUCUGCAUUACUGUAAGGGUAGGUUUAGGGGUAGACUUUAAUAAAAACACAAUCUAAUAGGUAGAAAAUAAUAUUUAUUGUUGAUUUCCUGUAGCUGUAUCCCAUCUAGCUAUAACCGCGAAUAUAACACAUAAUUACUGUAUUUGCAGUACUGUAAGGGUAGGUUUAGGGUUGUGGUAGGGGUAGACGUGAAUAAACCAUAACUUCACCGAUUGCAUUUUUCGUUGUCUAAUUGUACUACCCACUGUUUUAAUGUGAGGUAGCAAAAUCUGACGGGGUAGGACAAAGACACCGGCUCAUCCAACUGUAUAGUACAAUACAUAUGAUUAUUGUGAUUGCUGUUAUAAAUUAAACAUUUUAUUAAAACCUGCAAAAACUUUUCCGACCAGGGGUAUACAUAUUUUACAAGUUUUUUAUUUUAAUUUUUUUUAUAAGUUGUACAAGCAAAAUACAGAGUUUAUCAGGUUAGAUUAUAGUUUAGACACGUAGGAUCUGCA
Molecule: long non-coding RNA, 2286 nt
Organism: Carassius auratus (goldfish)
Lineage: Eukaryota; Metazoa; Chordata; Actinopteri; Cypriniformes; Cyprinidae
Source: Ensembl